Molecule: ribosomal RNA, 250 nt
Filed under: uncultured bacterium
Lineage: Bacteria
Description: partial 16S ribosomal RNA
Rfam family: Archaeal small subunit ribosomal RNA
Source: RNAcentral
ACACCGGCAGCUCAAGUGGUGGCCAUUUUUAUUUGGGCCCUAAAGCGUUCGUAGCCGGCUUGAUAAGUCUCUGGUGAAAUCCCAUAGCUUAACUGUGGGAAUUGCUGGAGAUACUAUUAGGCUUGAGGCCGAGAGAGGUUAGGGGUACUCCCAGGGUAGGGGUGAAAUCCUAUAAUCCUGGGAGGACCACCUGUGGCGAAGGCGCCUAACUGGAACGGACCUGACGGUGAGUAACGAAAGCCAGGGGCGC